This 553-nucleotide ribosomal RNA is filed under the name Chaetostoma sp. T491. RNAcentral's name for it is "partial large subunit ribosomal RNA". It matches the Rfam family "Bacterial large subunit ribosomal RNA", at positions 1808 to 2574 of the family's 2925-position model. The record is from RNAcentral. Lineage: Eukaryota; Metazoa; Chordata; Actinopteri; Siluriformes; Loricariidae.
CAAAAACAUCGCCUCCCGCAAAAAUCAACGUAUAGGAGGUCUUGCCUGCCCAGUGACUAUGAGUUAAACGGCCGCGGUAUUUUGACCGUGCAAAGGUAGCGCAAUCACUUGUCUUUUAAAUGAAGACCUGUAUGAAUGGUGGAACGAGGGCUUAACUGUCUCCCCCCUCUAGUCAAUGAAAUUGAUCUACCCGUGCAGAAGCGGGUAUAAUAAUACAAGACGAGAAGACCCUUUGGAGCUUAAGACAAAAGACCAACUACGUCAAAAGUCCUUAAAAACUAAACCAAGUAGCACUGAUCCUAGUCUUCGGUUGGGGCGACCGCGGGAGAAAACAAAGCUCCCAUGCGGACUGGGGUAAACCCCUAAAACUAAGAGAGACAUCUCCAAGGCACAAAACAUUUGACCAAAAAGAUCCGGCUAUAUGCCGACCAGCGGACCAAGUUACCCUAGGGAUAACAGCGCAAUCCCCUUCCAGAGUCCAUAUCGACAAGGGGGUUUACGACCUCGAUGUUGGAUCAGGACAUCCUAAUGGUGCAGCCGCUAUUAAGGGUUC